AAUAGUUUUGGUACUUGUCUAUUGAAUCCUCAACAACGUGUUCUUGUCUCUGUUGCCCACCUUACUGUUGAUGUAAUGAACCAUUGAGGAGGACUCUAGCCUGGACAUUCGCCUAACCAACACUUUUUCAACAGCUUCCUGUUGACGUGUUUGAUGCUAUGGUGGUGGUGUAUGGAUCUUUCCCACUAAAUGCUCAGUUUAUGUAAGUAGUCGUAGCCUGGAACCUCAAUGUUCACCAAGUUAUUAUCCAGUGGACUGCAAUAUCUGGGAUCGACUAGUUGGUCAUAUUACGAAGCCUAACAUGUUACAAUGCUCAUCACAUUUUUUAAGAUACUCUGGCUGUCAUUGGUGGCAGUUGAGAUAAACAAGACACAGUCUGUGUCUCUUAGACACACUGAAUGCUCAGUCAUCCUCUGCAUGUCAUACUUUUAAGGUUAAAAGUAUUUAUCAUUUCACACCUUACAUCUCCAAAAACCUUAAUGUAUCAAAUCUAUUUAUUGAAUGUUCCAACUAUCCACAUGAAGAUCUGUGAGAUUUGUGUGCAGAAAAUAGAUUAAUUUGUACUUGUCUCCAGGCCAAAGGUGACUGGUCUUACCUUACUCGAAGGUGUAGCUCAACCUCCAAAAACAACUCUCCCCCUGCCUGAUUUAAUAUUUAGAAUUAGUUUAUGCACAGUACCUGUUACUGUAACUACAGAGAGUUUAUAGAACUGUCAAACUGUUCAGCAGAGUUUAGAGAACUGUCAAUGAUGUUCAACAGAG
This is a non-coding RNA of Pelobates cultripes (western spadefoot toad), 761 nucleotides long. The record is from the annotation of a GenBank genome assembly. Lineage: Eukaryota; Metazoa; Chordata; Amphibia; Anura; Pelobatidae.